Phyllostomus discolor (pale spear-nosed bat) is the source of this 3111-nucleotide long non-coding RNA. RefSeq lists it as uncharacterized. The transcript has 2 exons. Lineage: Eukaryota; Metazoa; Chordata; Mammalia; Chiroptera; Phyllostomidae. The record is from RefSeq and is a predicted model, not a curated record.
GUUACCUCUAUUUGGUCCUUGGUGUACAUAAUAAUUGUUUUAAUUUUUUGGUUAUUUGCAACAGACAAGACUUUGAAAGGAAUGCAAUAGUGCUGUGUUCACUCAUUGUCUAAGGUUUAGUUUGCCUGUUUUGGAGGGAUUUGAAUCAUUUAUGCCAUUCCAAAGUUUCUUUGCUGUUUCACUGUCCCAGAGCAAAUACACUUUGUCAUUCUGUUUAACUUCCAGCUUGUCUGGGGAGAAAUAAAGACAUCUCUAGUCUGAAAUUACUUUGGGGAGUAUAGCUCCACAUGUUUUGGUGUGAAUGAAAGGCCUAGGGAAACAUGAAUUUUGUUACCUUUUUAUUUUCCUUUACUUAUAAAUCAUCAUGAUGAUCCUCCUGUUACAUCCAUGCGUCUCACUUUUUAUAAACACCAUUCAUUCCCUUUCUGAGGGUGGUUAUUUGUAGUUCGUUUUGCCAUUUACAAGCUUAUAGGUCCUUUACAAAUGGAUCAUUUUUUCACAUUAAAUUUUAGUAGGUCAAGAAUCCAUUUAUUCUGAGUCCCCUUAGAGAAUCGAUCAUAGAAGAUUGUGACUACAUGAUUUUUAUAGCUUCCUAUUGCUUUCUGUAGUCUUCUCAAUUUAAACAGAAGCAACAACAAAAUAUAGAGGCCACCAUAAGGCCUUACCUUCCUGGUUUUGUUUUUGUUUCACACUUGUUUCUAAGAGUAUUUGUUGGAUUUGUGAUAUAUAUGCUUGUAGUAAAUUUACCUGCUGUAUUAAUGAGGCAAAAUCUGGCAUUUCCAAGGGUUCAAACACAAAUUUAUAUGCAUGUGAUCUAAGUAGAAUUCAGUGACAGUUUUAACUAGUAUACCUUCAGAUUUCCUUUACACCAAGGUCUGUUUAAAAAUUUAAAAGACAUUUUUGUUACAGACUCUCAGAUGCUUAAUAUCCCCAUAUCCAUUAGAGGGCUGUGCCAAGUAUUCAUUUUCUUCCUUUUUUAACCCUAAAGUAAAUAUGUUGCCAAUGAUCACUUUCCCUCCUGCUGAGGUUUUUUGAAAACUAACUUUUUAUUAAUGGAGAAAUUGAAACACAUACGAAAGUAAACAGACAUGUAUGAUGAAUCACCAUGUAGCCUUCACCCAAUUUGAAAGCUACCAACCCUCAACCAUUCAUCCUGUUUGUCUGUUACCCCCUCCAUUUCACCCUCCAUAUUAUAAAGAAGCAGAUCUCAAACAUCUUUUCAUCUGCAUUUUUAAAAACAGGUAUUUCAGCGUGCGUUUUGAAGAGAUGAGUAUUCCUUUUAAUCAUGAUGUCAUUAACAUACCUAAAAAUUUUACCGAAAUUCCUCGGUCAUUGUUCAUAUUUACAAGUGUUUCAUGAAUGUCCUAGACAAUUCCUCCCUACCUCAACUUACUUGAAUCAGUUUCCAAAUAAAGUAGAUGCACUGUGAUUGGUUGAUAUUUCUUUUAUAUCUCUUCUAAUCUGUAAGUUCCCUGUUUAUUUUUAUUUACAGUUUUGCAGUUUAUUUAAUGAUGAAAUAGGGCUGAGUUUCUCAGCCUGGAUUUUGCUUAUUGCAUUUGUAUAGCAUAGUUUAAUAUCUUCCUUUAUGUUCAGUGUUUCCUAUAAAUUUGGCAGUUAGAUCAGGAGGCUUGGUCAAAUUUAGGUGUGAUAUUAUUUUUAAAGAUUUUACUUGUUUAUUUUUAGAGAGAGGGGAAGGGAAGGAGAAAGAGAGGGAGAGGAACAUUGAUGUGAGAGAGAAUCAUUGAUUGGUUUCCUCUUGUACACGCCCCAACCUGGGGCUGAACCUGUGCACCCUAGGCAUGUGCCCUGACUGGAUAUUGAACCAGCAACCCUUUGCUUUCUGCCAUGACGCCCAACCACCUGAGCCACACUGGCCAGUGCUAUUAUUUUUGACAAAACUGUUUCAAAGGUGAUAGUGUGUUUUUCUGUCAGGGGACACAUAACGUCUUACUGUCUUUGUGAUUUUGGCAGCCACUGGAAUAUAACUCUAAAGAGAAACUUAACAUAUUUGGUUACUCAGUUGGGUAAGUUACAUAGUGAAGGCAGAAUAAGUGCUUAAUUUUUUCCCUUGUUUACCAAUUUUAUUUUUAAUUAUUUUUCACAAUUAUAAAUUGGUUUCGUAGUAUCCUUUUCAGAAUCAUCGUGAACUCAUAUUUGCUAUGUUUCAAUCUACUGCAGUAAUUUAGUAUAUUGCCAUUAUAAUCCUUACAGACUUUAAUUUUAAGAAAACUUAAAUUGCUUUUGCCGUAGGAAAGUUUAGAUGUAUAAACAUUGCAUGGUCAGAUUUGGUGGUGAACUAAUGCAAAUGCAUGCAUUCAACUUAACGUUUGCCCUAGGUAUUAUUUUGAAAAUUGAAUAGUUAUUGAAGCUACUGUUUUUUUAAAAAUGACAUUUUCCUGGUCACCUCUUCAUCAUUUGUCUAGGGCUAAUUAAUGUCUUAGCAUUAGAAUAACUGAAAUAUCUUUAUUAGAACUAUAGUUCUGUUUUUAAGUUGUGAAUUGAAAUAGAUCAAUGUGUAAUGCAAAGAACUUUAUUAUAGUCAAAGUAAUUUAGCACAAGAAUUGAGUUUAAAAAUUAACCUUAUUGUUAUCUAAUAUACAAGGCAACACACACACACACACACACACACACACACGGCGAAGUCCACCUUUUUGACUCCUUACACUAUUUCUCAUCAGGGCUUUUCUUAGUGUUUUGGGAUGGGUUGUGCUUUGCCUUGAAAACAUUAAGCAUCUUUGGACUUUGCUGACUAAGUGCUAAUAGGGCCACUCCCAGUAUAAGUGGUUGCCAGAAAUCACCCUCUUUCUCUCAGUUCCAAAUGUUUUGAGGGAGGAAGGGUUAUCCCCUUAAGUUGCGAAUUACUGGUCUAGAUUCCCUUUGUUAUGAGAGCAAGUCAUAAUGUUGUAAUUAAAAUGUUUUGUGUAUUGUUGCUUCAAGUAAUGUAUAAUUGUCAUAGAUUUCUUAGGUAAAGUCUAUCAUGACCAAAUAUGUGUGAUUUUACUGCAUAUGAAGUUGUCCUCUAUGCAAAAAGUGGUAUUUUCUUUUAUCAGUUGAACUCUUUACAUCUCUUUCAAACUCUGAAAUCUCAUACUAAAUAUGAACUUUAUCUUU